RNAcentral lists this ribosomal RNA (429 nucleotides) under Chloroflexota bacterium. RNAcentral describes it as "Chloroflexi bacterium partial 16S ribosomal RNA". It matches the Rfam family "Bacterial small subunit ribosomal RNA", at positions 355 to 776 of the family's 1533-position model. Lineage: Bacteria; Bacillati; Chloroflexota. The record is from RNAcentral.
UAGGGAAUCUUCGGCAAUGGACGAAAGUCUGACCGAGCAACGCCGCGUGAGUGAAGAAGGUUUUCGGAUCGUAAAACUCUGUUGUUAGAGAAGAACAAGGACGUUAGUAACUGAACGUCCCCUGACGGUAUCUAACCAGAAAGCCACGGCUAACUACGUGCCAGCAGCCGCGGUAAUACGUAGGUGGCAAGCGUUGUCCGGAUUUAUUGGGCGUAAAGCGAGCGCAGGCGGUUUGUUAAGUCAGAUGUGAAAUCCCCGGGCUCAACCUGGGAACUGCAUCUGAUACUGGCAAGCUUGAGUCUCGUAGAGGGGGGUAGAAUUCCAGGUGUAGCGGUGAAAUGCGUAGAGAUCUGGAGGAAUACCGGUGGCGAAGGCGGCCCCCUGGACGAAGACUGACGCUCAGGUGCGAAAGCGUGGGGAGCAAACAGG